This 393-nucleotide ribosomal RNA is filed under the name uncultured bacterium. RNAcentral describes it as "bacterial SSU rRNA". It matches the Rfam family "Bacterial small subunit ribosomal RNA", at positions 505 to 898 of the family's 1533-position model. The record is from RNAcentral.
GUGUCAGCCGCCGCGGUAAUACAGAGGGUGCGAGCGUUAAUCGGAUUUACUGGGCGUAAAGGGCGCGUAGGCGGUGAGAUGAGUGUGAUGUGAAAGCCCCGGGCUUAACCUGGGAAGAGCAUCGCAAACGAUCUGACUGGAGUAUAUGAGAGGGUGGCGGAAUUUCCGGUGUAGCGGUGAAAUGCGUAGAGAUCGGAAGGAACGUCGAUGGCGAAGGCAGCCACCUGGCAUAAUACUGACGCUGAGGCGCGAAAGCGUGGGGAUCGAACAGGAUUAGAUACCCUGGUAGUCCACGCUGUAAACGAUGAGAACUAGAUGUUGGUUGGGGAACCAAUCGGUAUCGAAGCUAACGCGAUAAGUUUUCCGCCUGGGAAGUACGGCCGCAAGGUUGAA